CCAAUAUAGUGUUGCUUCGGUUCUUUCGAUUCCUAUCGAAAGCUAAGAGGGAAACCGGUGAAAUUCCGGCGCUGCCCCCGCAACUGUAAGCGGAUAGUUCGGCUGAUGACGCCACUGAAAGCAUGCUUUUGGGAAGGCCAGUCCGAACGGUGAUCCGCAAGCCAGGAGACCUGCCGCAAGCGCGAACGAUAA
RNAcentral lists this non-coding RNA (192 nucleotides) under Ruegeria sp. ANG-S4. Lineage: Bacteria; Pseudomonadati; Pseudomonadota; Alphaproteobacteria; Rhodobacterales; Roseobacteraceae. The record is from RNAcentral. RNAcentral also lists the same sequence under 1 other name.